UACAGAGGGUGCGAGCGUUAAUCGGAAUUACUGGGCGUAAAGCGUGCGCAGGCGGUUCGUUAUGUCCGAUGUGAAAGCCCCGAGCUCAACUUGGGAAUGGCAUUGGAAACUGGCGGGCUGGAGUGUGGCAGAGGGGGGUGGAAUUCCACGUGUAGCAGUGAAAUGCGUAGAGAUGUGGAGGAACACCGAUGGCGAAGGCAGCCCCCUGGGCCAACACUGACGCUCAGGCACGAAAGCGUGGGGAGCAAACAGG
Molecule: ribosomal RNA, 253 nt
Filed under: uncultured bacterium
Lineage: Bacteria
Description: partial 16S ribosomal RNA
Rfam family: Bacterial small subunit ribosomal RNA
Source: RNAcentral